ACACUGAAGAAUCCUGUGACAGGCA
This 25-nucleotide non-coding RNA is filed under the name Cricetulus griseus (Chinese hamster). Lineage: Eukaryota; Metazoa; Chordata; Mammalia; Rodentia; Cricetidae. The record is from RNAcentral.